GAGCAUCCUGUGUCUCCUUCCAGAUGAUCUCCAUAUUUUUAGCUCUGUCAACUAGGUCAUCAUAAUCAGUCGAGUGAACAGCAACUAAACCCUGACGCAGGCGAAGCCUCAGUCCUUCCUCAAAUCUACUCAUCCUAGAUUUAGGGUCUUGGACAAGAGAUGGUGCAAAACGGGACAACCGAUCAAACUCAGCCUCGUAGUCCUCCACAGUCAUACUCCCCUG
Molecule: long non-coding RNA, 223 nt
Filed under: Phoenix dactylifera (date palm)
Lineage: Eukaryota; Viridiplantae; Streptophyta; Magnoliopsida; Arecales; Arecaceae
Description: long non-coding RNA (PDAC_LNC022418)
Source: RNAcentral